Molecule: ribosomal RNA, 254 nt
Filed under: uncultured bacterium
Lineage: Bacteria
Description: partial 16S ribosomal RNA
Rfam family: Bacterial small subunit ribosomal RNA
Source: RNAcentral
UACGUAGGGGGCGAGCGUUGUCCGGAUUUAUUGGGCGUAAAGAGCGUGUAGGCGGCCAGGUAGGUCUGCUGUGAAAACUCGAGGCUCAACCUCGAGACGUCGGUUGAAACCAUCUGGCUAGAGUCCGGAAGAGGAGUGUGGAAUUCCCGGUGUAGCGGUGAAAUGCGCAGAUAUCGGGAAGAACACCCGCGGCGAAGGCGGCGCUCUGGGCCGGUACUGACGCUGAGGAGCGAAAGCCGUGGGGAGCAAACAGG